Molecule: ribosomal RNA, 1444 nt
Filed under: uncultured organism
Description: SSU rRNA
Rfam family: Bacterial small subunit ribosomal RNA
Source: RNAcentral
AACGCUAGCGACAGGCUUAACACAUGCAAGUCGAGGGGCAGCACAGGUAGCAAUACCGGGUGGCGACCGGCGCACGGGUGAGUAACGCGUAUGCAACUUGCCUAUCAGAGGGGGAUAACCCGGCGAAAGUCGGACUAAUACCGCAUGAAGCAGGGGCCCCGCAUGGGGAUAUUUGCUAAAGAUUCAUCGCUGAUAGAUAGGCAUGCGUUCCAUUAGGCAGUUGGCGGGGUAACGGCCCACCAAACCGACGAUGGAUAGGGGUUCUGAGAGGAAGGUCCCCCACAUUGGUACUGAGACACGGACCAAACUCCUACGGGAGGCAGCAGUGAGGAAUAUUGGUCAAUGGGCGUAAGCCUGAACCAGCCAAGUCGCGUGAGGGAUGAAGGUUCUAUGGAUCGUAAACCUCUUUUAUAAGGGAAUAAAGUGCGGGACGUGUCCCGUUUUGUAUGUACCUUAUGAAUAAGGAUCGGCUAACUCCGUGCCAGCAGCCGCGGUAAUACGGAGGAUCCGAGCGUUAUCCGGAUUUAUUGGGUUUAAAGGGUGCGUAGGCGGCCUUUUAAGUCAGCGGUGAAAGUCUGUGGCUCAACCAUAGAAUUGCCGUUGAAACUGGGGGGCUUGAGUAUGUUUGAGGCAGGCGGAAUGCGUGGUGUAGCGGUGAAAUGCAUAGAUAUCACGCAGAACCCCGAUUGCGAGGGCAGCCUGCCAAGCCAUUACUGACGCUGAUGCACGAAAGCGUGGGGAUCAAACAGGAUUAGAUACCCUGGUAGUCCACGCAGUAAACGAUGAUCACUAGCUGUUUGCGAUACACUGUAAGCGGCACAGCGAAAGCGUUAAGUGAUCCACCUGGGGAGUACGCCGGCAACGGUGAAACUCAAAGGAAUUGACGGGGGCCCGCACAAGCGGAGGAACAUGUGGUUUAAUUCGAUGAUACGCGAGGAACCUUACCCGGGUUUGAACGCAUUCGGACCGAGGUGGAAACACCUUUUCUAGCAAUAGCCGUUUGCGAGGUGCUGCAUGGUUGUCGUCAGCUCGUGCCGUGAGGUGUCGGCUUAAGUGCCAUAACGAGCGCAACCCUUGCCACUAGUUACUAACAGGUAAAGCUGAGGACUCUGGUGGGACUGCCAGCGUAAGCUGCGAGGAAGGCGGGGAUGACGUCAAAUCAGCACGGCCCUUACAUCCGGGGCGACACACGUGUUACAAUGGCGUGGACAAAGGGAAGCCACCUGGCGACAGGGAGCGAAUCCCCAAACCACGUCUCAGUUCGGAUCGGAGUCUGCAACCCGACUCCGUGAAGCUGGAUUCGCUAGUAAUCGCGCAUCAGCCAUGGCGCGGUGAAUACGUUCCCGGGCCUUGUACACACCGCCCGUCAAGCCAUGGGAGCCGGGGGUACCUGAAGUCCGUAACCGCGAGGAUCGGCCUAGGGUAAAACUGGUGACUGGGGCUA